GCGGGUGUGGCGGAAUUGGCAGACGCGCUAGAUUUAGGAUCUAGUGUUGUACGACGUGGGGGUUCGAGUCCCUUCACCCGCACCA
This 85-nucleotide transfer RNA is filed under the name Sporolactobacillus spathodeae. RNAcentral's name for it is "tRNA-Leu(tag)". It matches the Rfam family "tRNA". Rfam says of the family: Transfer RNA (tRNA) molecules are approximately 80 nucleotides in length. Their secondary structure includes four short double-helical elements and three loops (D, anti-codon, and T loops). Further hydrogen bonds mediate the characteristic L-shaped molecular structure. tRNAs have two regions of fundamental functional importance: the anti-codon, which is responsible for specific mRNA codon recognition, and the 3' end, to which the tRNAs corresponding amino acid is attached (by aminoacyl-tRNA synthetases). tRNAs cope with the degeneracy of the genetic code in two manners: having more than one tRNA (with a specific anti-codon) for a particular amino acid; and 'wobble' base-pairing, i.e. permitting non-standard base-pairing at the 3rd anti-codon position. The record is from RNAcentral. Lineage: Bacteria; Bacillati; Bacillota; Bacilli; Caryophanales; Sporolactobacillaceae.